GGGCCCGCAUCAGCACCUGCCGACGAGCCUGUAACUGGUCCGCACGGUUGGGAUGGAUGGCCCCCUUCUCCACGGCCGACUGCAGCAGGCCUUCCAGGUGAAUCACAUAGACAAAGAGAGUCUCCUGGGGCCGCUGGCCACAGGUCAGGAACUUCAGCCGUGCGGUCGUGGGGGUGUCCUUCCUCCCAAACACCUGGACCAGCGCGGCCAGGCAAUCCUGUGCAGGGACGUCAGGGUUUUCUGCCAGGAGGCCGCACACGAGAUCCAGUGCGGGGCCACCCAAGCUCUCCAUCAGCCUCCUCCUCCUCUCCCUUUCUGUGAUGUGGCACCACAGGUACAGCGUGUCUCUGGCGUGAUCCAGCCAGCUCUCAAAGGACUCUUCUUCUCGGUGUGGCUCUUCCAUUCCAGGAAAGGUUCUCAGUUUCAUAGAGGCCCUGUUUUCCAGCACAGGCUGCCAGACCGGGCUCCAAGGCUGGGUCCAGGAUCUUCCCGCACCUAUGGCUCCUGCCACACCCACAGCUCCUUCCUCACCUGCAGGUCCCGCCUCACCUGCAGCUCCUGCCACACUCACAGAUCCUAACAAACCUGCAAUUCCUGCGUCCCCAGCGGCUCCCUCCUCAUCUGACUCUCCUGCUUCCUCUUCAGGCCCUGCCUGGCCCAAGUGGCUGCCCUGCCUCCAGCUCCUUCCUCGCCUCCAGCCACUGCCUCGCCUCCAGUUCCUUCCUCACCUCCAGCUGCUGCCCCGCCUCCAGCUCCUUCCUUGCCUCCAGCCGCUGCCCCGCCUCCAUCUUCUGCCUUGCCUCAGCUCCUGCCUCACCUCCUUCCUCACCUCCAGCUGCUGCCUAGCCUUCCAGUUCCUUCUCACCUCCAGCUCCUUCCUGGCCUCCAGCCGCUGACAGGCCUCCAGCCGCUGCCACGCCUCCAGCUGCUGCCUCGCCUCCAGCUCAUGCCCCGCCUCCAGACUCUGCCCCGCCUCCAGCCGCUGCCUUGCCUCCAGUUCCUGCCUUGCCUCCAGUUCCUUCCUCACCUCCAGCUCCUUCCUCACCUGCAGGUCCCGCCUCACCUGCAGCUCCUGCCACACUCACAGAUCCUAACAAACCUGCAAUUCCUGCGUCCCCAGCGGCUCCCUCCUCAUCUGACUCUCCUGCUUCCUCUUCAGGCCCUGCCUGGCCCAAGUGGCUGCCCUGCCUCCUGCUCCUUCCUCGCCUCCAGCCACUGCCUCGCCUCCAGUUCCUUCCUCACCUCCAGCUGCUGCCCCGCCUCCAGCUCCUUCCUUGCCUCCAGCCGCUGCCCCGCCUCCAUCUUCUGCCUUGCCUCCAGCUCCUGCCCCGCCUCCAGCUGCUGCCUAGCCUCCAGUUCCUUCCUCACCUCCAGCUCCUUCUGCGCCUCCACCUGCUGCCCUGCCUCCAGCCGCUGCCCCGCCUCCAGCUCCUGCCUCGCCUCUAGCUCCUGCCCCGCCUCCAGCCGCUGCCUCGCCUCCAUCUCCUUCCUCGCCUCCAGUUCCUGCCUUGCCUCCAGCUCCUUCCUCGCCUCCAGCUCCUUCCUCGCUCCAGCUGCUGCCCCGCCUCCAGCUCCUUCCUGGCCUCUAGCUCCUGCCCCGCCUCCAACUGCUGCCCCGCCUCCUGCCGCUGCCCGCCUCCAUCUCCUUCCUCGCCUCCAGCUCCUGCCCCGCCUCCAGCUGCUGCCCCGCCUCCAGCCCCUUCCUUGCCUCCAGAAGCUGCCCCGCCUCCAGCCGCUGCCCCGCCUCCAGCUCCUGCCUCGCCUCUAGCUCCUGCCCCGCCUCCAGCCGCUGCCUCGCCUCCAGUUCCUUCCUCACCUCCAGCUCCUGCCUCACCUCCUUCCUCACCUCCAGCUCCUUCCUCGCCUCCAGCUGCUGCCCCGCCUCCAGCUCCUUCCUGGCCUCUAGCUCCUGCCCCGCCUCCAACUGCUGCCCCGCCUCCUGCCGCUGCCCGCCUCCAUCUCCUUCCUCGCCUCCAGCUCCUGCCCCGCCUCCAGCUGCUGCCCCGCC
Molecule: long non-coding RNA, 2008 nt
Filed under: Felis catus (domestic cat)
Lineage: Eukaryota; Metazoa; Chordata; Mammalia; Carnivora; Felidae
Description: lncRNA (ENSFCAG00000048719.1)
Source: RNAcentral